RNAcentral lists this ribosomal RNA (1349 nucleotides) under Rathayibacter sp. Its description in RNAcentral is "bacterial SSU rRNA". It matches the Rfam family "Bacterial small subunit ribosomal RNA", at positions 70 to 1429 of the family's 1533-position model. Lineage: Bacteria; Bacillati; Actinomycetota; Actinomycetes; Micrococcales; Microbacteriaceae. The record is from RNAcentral.
GAAGCCCAGCUUGCUGGGUGGAUUAGUGGCGAACGGGUGAGUAACACGUGAGUAACCUGCCCUUGACUCUGGGAUAAGCGCUGGAAACGGCGUCUAAUACCGGAUACGACCUGCCCCGGCAUCGGGUGUGGGUGGAAAGUUUUUCGGUCAAGGAUGGACUCGCGGCCUAUCAGCUUGUUGGUGAGGUAAUGGCUCACCAAGGCGACGACGGGUAGCCGGCCUGAGAGGGUGACCGGCCACACUGGGACUGAGACACGGCCCAGACUCCUACGGGAGGCAGCAGUGGGGAAUAUUGCACAAUGGGCGCAAGCCUGAUGCAGCAACGCCGCGUGGGGGAUGACGGCCUUCGGGUUGUAAACCUCUUUUAGUAGGGAAGAAGGGCUUCGGCUUGACGGUACCUGCAGAAAAAGCACCGGCUAACUACGUGCCAGCAGCCGCGGUAAUACGUAGGGUGCAAGCGUUGUCCGGAAUUAUUGGGCGUAAAGAGCUCGUAGGCGGUUUGUCGCGUCUGCUGUGAAAACCCGAGGCUCAACCUCGGGCCUGCAGUGGGUACGGGCAGACUAGAGUGCGGUAGGGGAGAAUGGAAUUCCUGGUGUAGCGGUGGAAUGCGCAGAUAUCAGGAGGAACACCGAUGGCGAAGGCAGUUCUCUGGGCCGUAACUGACGCUGAGGAGCGAAAGCGUGGGGAGCGAACAGGAUUAGAUACCCUGGUAGUCCACGCCGUAAACGUUGGGCGCUAGAUGUGGGGACCUUUCCACGGUUUCCGUGUCGCAGCUAACGCAUUAAGCGCCCCGCCUGGGGAGUACGGCCGCAAGGCUAAAACUCAAAGGAAUUGACGGGGGCCCGCACAAGCGGCGGAGCAUGCGGAUUAAUUCGAUGCAACGCGAAGAACCUUACCAAGGCUUGACAUAUACCGGAAACUUCCAGAAAUGGUUGCCCCGCAAGGUCGGUAUACAGGUGGUGCAUGGUUGUCGUCAGCUCGUGUCGUGAGAUGUUGGGUUAAGUCCCGCAACGAGCGCAACCCUCGUUCUAUGUUGCCAGCACGUUAUGGUGGGAACUCAUAGGAGACUGCCGGGGUCAACUCGGAGGAAGGUGGGGAUGACGUCAAAUCAUCAUGCCCCUUAUGUCUUGGGCUUCACGCAUGCUACAAUGGCCGGUACAAAGGGCAGCGAUACCGUAAGGUGGAGCGAAUCCCAAAAAGCCGGUCUCAGUUCGGAUUGAGGUCUGCAACUCGACCUCAUGAAGUCGGAGUCGCUAGUAAUCGCAGAUCAGCAACGCUGCGGUGAAUACGUUCCCGGGCCUUGUACACACCGCCCGUCAAGUCAUGAAAGUCGGUAACACCCGAAGCCA